GUGAACGCUGGCGGUAGGCCUAACACAUGCAAGUCGCACGGCAGCACAGUAAGAGCUUGCUCUUACGGGUGGCGAGUGGCGGACGGGUGAGGAAUACAUCGGAAUCUACUUUUUCGUGGGGGAUAACGUAGGGAAACUUACGCUAAUACCGCAUACGACCUACGGGUGAAAGCAGGGGAUCUUCGGACCUUGCGCGAUUGAAUGAGCCGAUGUCGGAUUAGCUAGUUGGCGGGGUAAAGGCCCACCAAGGCGACGAUCCGUAGCUGGUCUGAGAGGAUGAUCAGCCACACUGGAACUGAGACACGGUCCAGACUCCUACGGGAGGCGGCAGUGGGGAAUAUUGGACAAUGGGCGCAAGCCUGAUCCAGCCAUACCGCGUGGGUGAAGAAGGCCUUCGGGUUGUAAAGCCCUUUUGUUGGGAAAGAAAAGCAGCAGGUUAAUACCCCGCUGUUCUGACGGUACCCAAAGAAUAAGCACCGGCUAACUUCGUG
RNAcentral lists this ribosomal RNA (491 nucleotides) under uncultured bacterium. RNAcentral's name for it is "partial 16S ribosomal RNA". It matches the Rfam family "Bacterial small subunit ribosomal RNA", at positions 29 to 507 of the family's 1533-position model. The record is from RNAcentral.